This 445-nucleotide ribosomal RNA is filed under the name uncultured bacterium. RNAcentral's name for it is "bacterial SSU rRNA". It matches the Rfam family "Bacterial small subunit ribosomal RNA", at positions 950 to 1392 of the family's 1533-position model. The record is from RNAcentral.
CACGGGGGGAACGCGAAGAACCUUACCAAAUCUUGACAUCCUUUGACAACUCUAGAGAUAGAGCUUUCCCCUUCGGGGGACAAAGUGACAGGUGGUGCAUGGUUGUCGUCAGCUCGUGUCGUGAGAUGUUGGGUUAAGUCCCGCAACGAGCGCAACCCUUAAGCUUAGUUGCCAUCAUUAAGUUGGGCACUCUAAGUUGACUGCCGGUGACAAACCGGAGGAAGGUGGGGAUGACGUCAAAUCAUCAUGCCCCUUAUGAUUUGGGCUACACACGUACUACAAUGGACAAUACAAAGGGCAGCGAAACCGUGAGGUCAAGCAAAUCCCAUAAAGUUGUUCUCAGUUCGGAUUGUAGUCUGCAACUCGACUACAUGAAGCUGGAAUCGCUAGUAAUCGUAGAUCAGCAUGCUACGGUGAAUACGUUCCUCGGGUCUUGUACACACCC